Long non-coding RNA from Nomascus leucogenys (northern white-cheeked gibbon), 1567 nucleotides. RefSeq lists it as uncharacterized. The record is from RefSeq and is a predicted model, not a curated record. The transcript is spliced from 4 exons. NCBI's taxonomy places the organism in Eukaryota, Metazoa, Chordata, Mammalia, Primates, Hylobatidae.
CUGGUAAUGAUGUAUACCUGGCAGCUGACAGUCAAAUCUUAUGAAGGAUUAAAACAUAAAGUUUGUAUUAAAGGUCAAAACAGUCACAAGCCUGCUCAAAUUCGAAAAGAGGGGACGGAAAUGGAACCUCUUCAUGGGAGGAAGAAACAGGGUCUUGCUCUGUUGCCCUGGCUGGAGUGCAAUGGUAUGAUCAUAGCUCACUGUAGCCUUGAACUCCUGGCCUCAAGCCAUCCCCCUACCUCAGCCUCCAGAGUAGCUGGGAUUGCAGGUGAAUGCCACCACACCUGGAAUUGGAAAGAUGAGUGUAAUUUGACAUAUGUCUUGAGUCUGGUUGGCUUCUGAGAAACUUGUGUGCAUCUCAUCAGUAUGCAUCUUAAGAACUAAUAUUACCCUACUUCAGCAUUGUGAGAAGACAUGCAUUCUCUUCUUAUAAAUAAUGUGGAUCUUACAUGUAAAGUAUUACAAAGAUUAGCUGUUUAACAACUUAAAUAAGCUUGUGAAUAAUAAAUUACUAACCAUGUUAUGCUAAUACGUAACUAUGAUAUUUGCUGAACAAAAUAAAUUUGCCUACUUUGGAAGGAGAUUGGGUGAUUUAAUAUAUCAGCAAAAGAGCGUUUUUUAAAAAUAUCAAAGUUCUGUUAAUCAAAAUGUUUAAGACAGUAAUGUUUUGUUUGCCAACUUACAUUACAAAGUCUCUGUCUUAAAUGUUUCCUUGCAAAUAAAAUGACAAUACUGCCUUACAUUUUAUUACUUUAGAGUUUGCAAAAUAUCUUCAUUAUAAUAUUUCAUUUAGUAGACAUGCCUAUGGGAACAUUACUUCCAGAAUUAAAAACAUUAUUUUUGUUUUGGUAUAUUUUUAAACUACAAAUGAUAGAAAGGCAAGUAUAUGUAAGUUUUUCUCUAGUUAUUUGUUCAAAUGCUAAUUUAAAACAUUUGUACAUUUCUAAUACAAAGAUUCCUUAUUUGAGAAAAAAUGGAUUUCUUAAAAACGAAAUGCGUUUUAGCAGAGAGACAGGGCAUUGAGCUGAAAAUGGUGUCUGGAAGUUGGGAUCUGUAAGAGAAGUUGAAUGUGCCCCGAGGCAUAAAGCUGCUAAUUUUGUUUUAUUGGAUUUUACUGUAGCUAUUAAUAUAUUUUGCUGGAGAUUUAUGUGAUCAAUUUAUCUUAUGGCCAGAACUAAUUCCCUUAGUAUAUUUUAUUAGAAUAUGUGACUUUUUCUAAAUUUAGCUUUAUUUUUCAUAUUUUCCAUAAAUGGCAAAUAUCCUAUGUUUCCAGACAUGUUAAGUAUUGCAAGAAUUAUUUGAGCACCUAAAGAUAAAUAAUAUCAAAAUAGUAUCAUUGUUUCCCUUAGUUUCUCCUUCUCCCCCACAAAUAAACCAAGAGGUAUUUAGUUAUACUAUUGCGUCUCUCUAGCUUUAUUAGAUUCUUCCAUGAAAGACAAAUGGAUUACAUUUUUGGUUGUGUGGCCCUCAUUGCCCUAUUGCACUUUUGAUAAUAUUUGCCUGUGACAAGUAGUUAUUUUUCAUUACCACAUUCAAUCAUGGGUAAUAAAAUAUUUUAAUAAUGGUG